AACGAACGCUGGCGGCGUGCUUAACACAUGCAAGUCGAACGAGAAAGCGGGCUUCGGCCCGUGAGUACAGUGGCAGACGGGUGAGUAACACGUGGGUAACCUGCCCAGAAGUGGGGAAUAACUCUUCGAAAGGAGGGCUAACACCGCAUAACAUCACAGAGUCCCUGGACUCCGUGAUCAAAACAGGCCUCUGAUUCAUGCUUGUGCUUCUGGAGGGACCCGCGCCCCAUUAGCUUGUUGGUGAGGUAACGGCUCACCAAGGCUCCGAUGGGUAGCCGGCCUGAGAGGGCGAUCGGCCACACUGGAACUUAGACACGGUCCAGACUCCUACGGGAGGCAGCAGUGAGGAAUAUUGCGCAAUGGGCGAAAGCCUGACGCAGCGACGCCGCGUGGAGGAUGAAGGCCUUCGGGUUGUAAACUCCUGUCAGGGGGGACGAAUGUCAACAGGAUGAAUAAUCCUGUUGGUUGACGGUACCUCCAAAGGAAGCCCCGGCUAACUCCGUG
RNAcentral lists this ribosomal RNA (504 nucleotides) under uncultured Bacillota bacterium. RNAcentral's name for it is "bacterial SSU rRNA". It matches the Rfam family "Bacterial small subunit ribosomal RNA", at positions 29 to 507 of the family's 1533-position model. Lineage: Bacteria; Bacillati; Bacillota. The record is from RNAcentral.